GCCCGUGCGCUUUGGGAUAAGCCUGGGAAACUGGGUCUAAUACCGAAUAGGACCACGCGCUUCAUGGUGUGGGGUGGAAAGCUUUUGCGGUGUGGGAUGGGCCCGCGGCCUAUCAGCUUGUUGGUGGGGUAAUGGCCUACCAAGGCGACGACGGGUAGCCGGCCUGAGAGGGUGACCGGCCACACUGGGACUGAGAUACGGCCCAGACUCCUACGGGAGGCAGCAGUGGGGAAUAUUGCACAAUGGGCGCAAGCCUGAUGCAGCGACGCCGCGUGAGGGAUGACGGCCUUCGGGUUGUAAACCUCUUUCACCAGGGACGAAGCGUAAGUGACGGUACCUGGAGAAGAAGCACCGGCCAACUACGUGCCAGCAGCCGCGGUAAUACGUAGGGUGCGAGCGUUGUCCGGAAUUACUGGGCGUAAAGAGCUCGUAGGUGGUUUGUCGCGUUGUUCGUGAAAACUCACAGCUUAACUGUGGGCGUGCGGGCGAUACGGGCAGACUAGAGUACUGCAGGGGAGACUGGAAUUCCUGGUGUAGCGGUGGAAUGCGCAGGAUAUCAGGAGGAACACCGGUGGCGAAGGCGGGUCUCUGGGCAGUAACUGACGCUGAGGAGCGAAAGCGGUGGGGAGCGAACAGGAGUAGAUACCCUGGUAGUCCACGCCGUAAACGGUGGGUACUAGGUGUGGGUUCCUUCCUUGGGGAUCCGUGCC
Molecule: ribosomal RNA, 710 nt
Filed under: Mycobacterium sp. DWM55
Lineage: Bacteria; Bacillati; Actinomycetota; Actinomycetes; Mycobacteriales; Mycobacteriaceae
Description: bacterial SSU rRNA
Rfam family: Bacterial small subunit ribosomal RNA
Source: RNAcentral